GGUCUCAUGGUGUAACGGUUAGCACUCUGGACUCUGAAUCCAGCAAUCCAAGCUCAAAUCUCGGUGAGACCU
RNAcentral lists this transfer RNA (72 nucleotides) under Ixodes scapularis (black-legged tick). RNAcentral describes it as "tRNA-Gln for anticodon CUG". It matches the Rfam family "tRNA". Rfam says of the family: Transfer RNA (tRNA) molecules are approximately 80 nucleotides in length. Their secondary structure includes four short double-helical elements and three loops (D, anti-codon, and T loops). The record is from RNAcentral. Lineage: Eukaryota; Metazoa; Arthropoda; Arachnida; Ixodida; Ixodidae.